CCUUCCGGUAAGGUGGACUGCGGAAGGAUCAUUA
Molecule: ribosomal RNA, 34 nt
Filed under: Neoscytalidium dimidiatum
Lineage: Eukaryota; Fungi; Ascomycota; Dothideomycetes; Botryosphaeriales; Botryosphaeriaceae
Description: partial 18S ribosomal RNA
Source: RNAcentral